ACUGCAUUAUGAGCACUUCAAGU
Molecule: microRNA, 23 nt
Filed under: Ornithorhynchus anatinus (platypus)
Lineage: Eukaryota; Metazoa; Chordata; Mammalia; Monotremata; Ornithorhynchidae
Description: oan-miR-20a-1-3p
Gene: oan-miR-20a-1-3p
Source: miRBase by way of RNAcentral